Molecule: long non-coding RNA, 436 nt
Organism: Cebus imitator (Panamanian white-faced capuchin)
Lineage: Eukaryota; Metazoa; Chordata; Mammalia; Primates; Cebidae
Exons: 3
Source: RefSeq, a predicted model, not a curated record
CCGAUUUACAAAAAAGUGUAUUUUCCAUUGUUGGAAAAGUACUUAUCUGCUGAGAACUGGCUCCCAGAAUAGCACGGAGCUAAGAAAGAACUGGGUUGUGCCUUGGGCUGGAUAGUGAGAUUAAACAUUUCACCUGUUGCCGAAAAGAAACUUUCCAGGCUAACCAUCUGGCAUCCUCUGCAGCAUGCCAGAUCUUUGGCGCAAAUCUCUCUUUAAAACAACAACACAAUUAAGCUUCUGCAAAACAUAGUGCUGUGCAAAUCCAGUGUUAGAGAUAUCACCAUGACAUCCAGGUUCCUUUCCAACAGCAUCGCUCUGCACCCAAACAAAGAAACCUUUCAGCGUGGCUUAUGUUUAACCUCAGAUGGAAAUAACUAUGUGGGAAAAUAAAUUACUCAAGCACUGGACAUGGAUGAAUCUGGAAACCAUCAUUCUC